GUGGGGAAUCUUCCACAAUGGACGAAAGUCUGAUGGAGCAACGCCGCGUGAGUGAAGAAGGGUUUCGGCUCGUAAAGCUCUGUUGUCGGGGACGAAUGUGCAGUAUUUGAACAAAGUACUGCAAUGACGGUACCUGACGAGGAAGCCACGGCUAACUACGUGCCAGCAGCCGCGGUAAUACGUAGGUGGCAAGCGUUGUCCGGAAUUAUUGGGCGUAAAGGGAGCGCAGGCGGGAAGGUAAGUCGGUCUUAAAAGUGCGGGGCUCAACCCCGUGAUGGGAUCGAAACUAUCUUUCUUGAGUGCAGGAGAGGAAAGUGGAAUUCCUAGUGUAGCGGUGAAAUGCGUAGAUAUUAGGAGGAACACCAGUGGCGAAGGCGACUUUCUGGACUGUAACUGACGCUGAGGCUCGAAAGCCAGGGGAGCGAACGGGAUUAGAAACCCCGGUAGUCC
Molecule: ribosomal RNA, 450 nt
Filed under: uncultured bacterium
Lineage: Bacteria
Description: partial 16S ribosomal RNA
Rfam family: Bacterial small subunit ribosomal RNA
Source: RNAcentral